RNAcentral lists this ribosomal RNA (18 nucleotides) under Rhizoctonia solani. RNAcentral's name for it is "28S ribosomal RNA". The record is from RNAcentral. Lineage: Eukaryota; Fungi; Basidiomycota; Agaricomycetes; Cantharellales; Ceratobasidiaceae.
GACCUACCCGCUGGAACU